Molecule: ribosomal RNA, 443 nt
Filed under: uncultured bacterium
Lineage: Bacteria
Description: SSU rRNA
Rfam family: Bacterial small subunit ribosomal RNA
Source: RNAcentral
AGAGCGAACGCUGGCGGCAGGCCUAACACAUGCAAGUCGAGCGCCCCGCAAGGGGAGCGGCAGACGGGAGAGUAACACGUGGGAACGUACCCUUCAGUUCGGAACAACCCAGGGAAACUUGGGCUAAUACCGAAUACGUCCGUAAGGAGAAAGAUUUAUCGCUGAAGGAUCGGCCCGCGUCUGAUUAGCUUGUUGGUGAGGUAACGGCUCACCAAGGCGACGAUCAGUAGCUGGUCUGAGAGGAUGAUCAGCCUCACUGGGACUGAGACACGGCCCAGACUCCUACGGGAGGCAGCAGUGGGGAAUAUUGGACAAUGGGCGCAAGCCUGAUCCAGCCAUGCCGCGUGGGUGAUGAAGGCCCUAGGGUUGUAAAGCCCUUUCGGCGGGAAGAUAAUGACGGUACCCGCAGAAGAACGCCCGGCUAACUUCGCGCCAGCAGCCGC